UGGGGAAUAUUGGACAAUGGGCGAAAGCCUGAUCCAGCAAUGCCGCGUGUGUGAAGAAGGUCUUAGGAUUGUAAAGCACUUUCGUCAGGGACGAUGAUGACGGUACCUGAAGAAGAAGCCCCGGCUAACUUCGUGCCAGCAGCCGCGGUAAUACGAAGGGGGCUAGCGUUGCUCGGAAUGACUGGGCGUAAAGGGCGCGUAGGCGGAUUGAUCAGUCAGACGUGAAAUUCCUGGGCUUAACCUGGGGGCUGCGUUUGAUACGGUCAGUCUAGAGUGAGGAAGAGGGUUGUGGAAUUCCCAGUGUAGAGGUGAAAUUCGUAGAUAUUGGGAAGAACACCGGUGGCGAAGGCGGCAACCUGGUCCUUGACUGACGCUGAGGCGCGAA
This 385-nucleotide ribosomal RNA is filed under the name uncultured bacterium. Its description in RNAcentral is "bacterial SSU rRNA". It matches the Rfam family "Bacterial small subunit ribosomal RNA", at positions 355 to 757 of the family's 1533-position model. The record is from RNAcentral.